This 497-nucleotide ribosomal RNA is filed under the name uncultured bacterium. RNAcentral describes it as "partial 16S ribosomal RNA". It matches the Rfam family "Bacterial small subunit ribosomal RNA", at positions 28 to 507 of the family's 1533-position model. The record is from RNAcentral.
GAUGAACGCUGGCGGCGUGCCUAAUACAUGCAAGUCGAGCGAACGGACGAGAAGCUUGCUUCUCUGAUGUUAGCGGCGGACGGGUGAGUAACACGUGGAUAACCUACCUAUAAGACUGGGAUAACUUCGGGAAACCGGAGCUAAUACCGGAUAAUAUUUUGAACCGCAUGGUUCAAAAGUGAAAGACGGUCUUGCUGUCACUUAUAGAUGGAUCCGCGCUGCAUUAGCUAGUUGGUAAGGUAACGGCUUACCAAGGCAACGAUGCAUAGCCGACCUGAGAGGGUGAUCGCCCACACUGGAACUGAGACACGGUCCAGACUCCUACGGGAGGCAGCAGUAGGGAAUCGUCCGCAAUGGGCGAAAGCCUGACGGAGCAACGCCGCGUGAGUGAUGAAGGUCUUCGGAUCGUAAAACUCUGUUAUUAGGGAAGAACAUAUGUGUAAGUAACUGUGCACAUCUUGACGGUACCUAAUCAGAAAGCCACGGCUAACUACGUG